This 403-nucleotide ribosomal RNA is filed under the name uncultured bacterium. RNAcentral describes it as "bacterial SSU rRNA". It matches the Rfam family "Bacterial small subunit ribosomal RNA", at positions 917 to 1344 of the family's 1533-position model. The record is from RNAcentral.
GGGCCCGCACAAGCGGUGGAGCAUGUGGUUUAAUUCGAUGAUACGCGAGGAACCUUACCAGGGCUUAAAUGUAAGUUGCAUUAGCUAGAGAUAGCUAUUUCUUCGGACUACUUACAAGGUGCUGCAUGGUUGUCGUCAGCUCGUGCCGUGAGGUGUCAGGUUAAGUCCUAUAACGAGCGCAACCCUUAUCCUUAGUUGCCAUCACGUUUGGGUGGGCACUCUAGGGAAACUGCCGGUGCUAAGCCGGAGGAAGGCGGGGAUGACGUCAAGUCCUCAUGGCCCUUACGGGUAGGGCUACACACGUGCUACAAUGGCAGUGACAAUGGGAUAAUCCCCAAAAGCUGUCUCAGUUCGGAUUGUCGGCUGCAACUCGCCGGCAUGAAGUUGGAAUCGCUAGUAAUCG